This 754-nucleotide ribosomal RNA is filed under the name fungal endophyte. Its description in RNAcentral is "eukaryotic LSU rRNA". The stretch from base 497 to 754 matches the Rfam family "Eukaryotic large subunit ribosomal RNA", at positions 1 to 261 of the family's 3401-position model. Lineage: Eukaryota; Fungi. The record is from RNAcentral.
CAUUAAAGAGUUCUAUAACUCCCAAACCCAUGUGAACAUACCUAACGUUGCCUCGGCAGGUCGCACCUACCUUGUAGCACCCUACCCUGUAGGGCCUACCCGGGAGGUGCGGGUAAGCCUGCCGGCGGCCCACCAAACUCUGUUUGAUAUUGAAUUCUGAACCUAUAACUAAAUAAGUUAAAACUUUCAACAACGGAUCUCUUGGUUCUGGCAUCGAUGAAGAACGCAGCGAAAUGCGAUAAGUAAUGUGAAUUGCAGAAUUCAGUGAAUCAUCGAAUCUUUGAACGCAUAUUGCGCCCAUUAGUAUUCUAGUGGGCAGGACCGUUCGAGCGUCAUUUCAACCCUUAAGCCUUCGUUGCUUAGUGUUGGGAGCCUACGGCAACGUAGCUCCUCAAAGUUAGUGGCGGAGUUGGUUCACACUCUAGACGUAGUAAUUUUUUAUCUCGCCUAUUAGUUGGACUAAUCCCCUGCCGUAAAACCCCCAAUUUAUCAAGGUUGACCUCGAAUCGGUUCAGACAAACUCGCUAAAUUGAAGCAUCUUAGUCAGCGAAGGAAAAGAAACCAACAGGGAUUGCCCUAGUAACGGCGAGUGAAGCGGCAACAGCUCAAAUUUGAAAUCUGGCCCUCGGGUCCGAGUUGUAAUUUGUAGAGGAUGCUUUUGGCGCGGUGCCUUCCGAGUUCCCUGGAACGGGACGCCUUAGAGGGUGAGAGCCCCGUACGGUUGGACACCAAGCCUCUGUAAAGCUCCUUCGAC